UAAAGCAAAGAAGAGCGCAGAGUGAAUGCCUUGGCAUUGAGAGCCGAAGAAGGACGUGGUUAACUGCGAUAAGCAGCGGGGAGUUGUAAGCAAGCAUUGAUCCGCUGAUUUCCGAAUGGAGCAAUCCGCAUGAAGUAGUUCAUGCAUCCAUAUGUAAAUCAAUAGCAUAUGGAGGGGAACCGCCUGAACUGAAACAUCUAAGUAGGGCGAGGAAGAGAAAUCAACCGAGAUUCCGUAAGUAGUGGCGAGCGAACGCGGAAGAGGCCAAACCGAGAGAAGAAAUUCUUUCGGGGUUCGGACUGCAUUUAGCAUUCCUGAUCUUUAGUCGAACAGUCUGGGAAGGCUGACGAGAGAGUGUGAGAGUCACGUAGACGAAAAGGAGAAGGAGCGAGCAGGAUCCAGAGUACCGCGGGGCACGUGAAAUCCCGUGGGAAGAUGGGGGGACCACCCUCCAAGCCUAAAUACUACUCAAUGACCGAUAGCGUAUAGUACUGUGAAGGAACGGUGAAAAGAACCCCGGGAGGGGAGUGAAAAGAACCUGAAACUCUGUGCUUACAAGCACAUAGAGCACGUCAAUGUGUGAUAUGGUACCUUUUGUAGAAUGGUCCGGCGAGUUAUGGUAUGCAGCAUGGUUAAGGACUUGAGGUCUGAAGCCGAAGCGAGAGCGAGUCUGACAAGGGCGAUAAGUUGUAUGCCAUAGACCCGAAACCGGGUGACCUAGCCAUGUCCAGGCUGAAGUGGAGGUAAAACUCCAUGGAGGGCCGAACCGACCUCCGUUGAAAAGGCGGCGGAUGAGAUGUGGCUAGCGGAGAAAUUCCAAUCGAACCCGGAUAUAGCUGGUUCUCCCCGAAAUAGCUUUAGGGCUAGCGUUGUAUUAGAUUACCGGAGGUAAAGCACUGAAUGGGCUAGGGGCUGAGAAGUUACUGAACCCUAUCAAACUAAGAAUGCCGGAUAAUUGAUGUACAGCAGUCAGACUAUGUGAGAUAAGUCUCAUAGUCAAAAGGGAAACAGCCCAGACCCACAGCUAAGGUCCCAAAAUGGAUUUAAGUGGAAAAGGAUGUGGAAUUGCACAGACAACCAGGAUGUUGGCUUAGAAGCAGCCACUCAUUAAAAGAGUGCGUAAUAGCUCACUGGUCGAGUGACCGAAGCUUGGGCUUGACAGUAAUGUCAGGGGUAGGGGAGCGUCGUAUACGAGGUGAAGUCAUAGCGGAAGCGGUGGUGGAUUGUAUACGAGUGAGAAUGCCGGAAUGAGUAGCGAGAAUUAUGUGAGAAUCAUAAUGGCCGAAAGUCUAAGGUUUCCUGAGGAAGGUUCGUCCUCUCAGGGUUAGCCGGGAGCUAAGGUGAGGCGGAAACGCGUAGCCGAUGCACAUACGGUAGAAAUUCCGUAGCCUCCGAAGAUUUAAGCACAGGGACACUUUUGAAGGGCUGAGCCGGGCGUUGGUUGCCCCGGUCGAAAGGGACACGAGUGAGUGGAAGUCAGUUUGGAAAGAGGCGAGAAAAGCUGUGUGUAUAUGGAAGGAGCCCGUACCGCAAACCGACACAGGUAGACAGGAAGAAGAUUCUAAGGCCAGCGGGAGAAGGGUUGUUAAGGAACUCGGCAAGUUGACCCCGUAACUUCGGGAGAAGGGGUGCUUACGAAGGUAAGCCGCAGAGAAUAGGCCCAAGCGACUGUUUAGCAAAAACACAGCUCUAUGCUAAAUCGAAAGAUGACGUAUAUGGGGUGACACCUGCCCGGUGCUGGAAGGUUAAGAGGAGAUGUGAGAGCAUUGAAUUGAAGCCCCAGUAAACGGCGGCCGUAACUAUAACGGUCCUAAGGUAGCGAAAUUCCUUGUCAGGUAAGUUCUGACCCGCACGAAUGGUG
RNAcentral lists this ribosomal RNA (1861 nucleotides) under human gut metagenome. RNAcentral's name for it is "bacterial LSU rRNA". It matches the Rfam family "Bacterial large subunit ribosomal RNA", at positions 1 to 2001 of the family's 2925-position model. The record is from RNAcentral.